RNAcentral lists this transfer RNA (70 nucleotides) under Dipodomys ordii (Ord's kangaroo rat). It matches the Rfam family "tRNA". From Rfam's summary of the family: Transfer RNA (tRNA) molecules are approximately 80 nucleotides in length. The record is from Rfam by way of RNAcentral. Lineage: Eukaryota; Metazoa; Chordata; Mammalia; Rodentia; Heteromyidae.
GGGAAUGUGGCUUAGUGGUAGAGCGCUUGCCUAGUAUGCAUGAGUCUCUAGGUUUGACUCCUCAGUACUA